UUUGGCCUUUGGCAAUUCAGUAAACAUUUUAGCAAUUUCUUCUUUCCUGCCUGCUGAAGACUGACUUCCUCCUGCUGCCAAAGUUCUAGAGUCUGGACGUCUGAGAUCAGGGUGCCAGCACUGUCGAGGUCACAGACUGCAGACCUCCUUGUAUCUUCAAAUGGAGGAAAGAGGACAAGAGAGCUCCUGUGGUCCCUUUUAUCAAGAUGAAUGCACAAGGAAAAUGUUGUACAUUUGCACAUUGGAGUACACUUCAGCCAUAAAAAGAAUGAGAUGCUGUCAUUUGCAACAACAGGCCUGAUAAUAUUGAACAUCCUUGCAUCCAUUAAAGUUUACUGUUCUAAGACUUACUUUAACCAAG
RNAcentral lists this long non-coding RNA (361 nucleotides) under Homo sapiens (human). Its description in RNAcentral is "HSALNT0142029". The record is from RNAcentral. Lineage: Eukaryota; Metazoa; Chordata; Mammalia; Primates; Hominidae.